CACCGCCUGGGGAGUACGACCGCAAGGUUAAAACUCAAAUGAAUUGACGGGGACCCGCACAAGUAGUGGAGCAUGUGGUUUAAUUCGAAGAUACGCGCAGAACCUUACCAACACUUGACAUGUUCGUCGCGACUUUAAGAGAUUAAAGUUUUCGGUUCGGCCGGACGAAACACAGGUGCUGCAUGGCUGUCGUCAGCUCGUGUCGUGAGAUGUUGGGUUAAGUCCCGCAACGAGCGCAACCCUCACUUUUAGUUGCCAUCAUUUAGUUGGGCACUCUGAAAGAACUGCCAGUGAUAAGCUGGAGGAAGGUGGGGAUGACGUCAAGUCCUCAUGGCCCUUACGUGUUGGGCUACACACGUGCUACAAUGGUAUCUACAACAGGAAGCAAGACGGCAACGUUAAGCAAAUCCUAAAAAGAUACCUCAGUUCGGAUUGCACUCUGCAACUCGAGUGCAUGAAGCUGGAAUUACUAGUAAUCGUGGAUCAGCGUGCCACGGUGAAUGCGUUCCCGGGUCUUGUACACACCGCCCGUCACACCAUGGGAGUUGGUUCUACCUUAAGGCAAAGCUUAAAACCUUUGACCACGGUAUAAUCAGCGACUGGGGUGAAGUCGUAACAAGGUAGCCGUAGGGGAACCUGCGGCUGGAUUACCUCCUUUCUAAGGAUGAAUGAAAUUAAGAUUUCAUUCUAAAUAAUUAACAGGUGAAUGUUGACCGCCCGCAUUUCUCUUCUUAAAAAUAGUGUUUCUCUUCUGAACGGGGGCCGGUAGCUCAGUUGGUUAGAGCACACCCUUGAUAAGGGUGGGGUCGAAAGUUCGAGUCUUUCUCGGCCCACCAAAUUUAAUGGGGGAUUAGCUCAGCUGGGAGAGCGCCUGAUUUGCAUUCAGGAGGUCAGCGGUUCGAUCCCGCUAUCCUCCACCAAAUUUGAGACAUUUAGCUUAUUUAAAUCGUAAAUAUUAUUAUCAAUAUCUAUAUCCGAUUGUUUUCAGACAUGUAGUUUGAAGACAAUCAAAACAAAAAUUUAAUUUAUAACAGAAAAAUUUUUUUCUG
This 1049-nucleotide small RNA is filed under the name uncultured Pelagibacterales bacterium. RNAcentral's name for it is "bacterial SSU rRNA". The stretch from base 1 to 658 matches the Rfam family "Bacterial small subunit ribosomal RNA", at positions 867 to 1533 of the family's 1533-position model. Lineage: Bacteria; Pseudomonadati; Pseudomonadota; Alphaproteobacteria; Candidatus Pelagibacterales. The record is from RNAcentral.